Molecule: ribosomal RNA, 1962 nt
Filed under: Triticum aestivum (bread wheat)
Lineage: Eukaryota; Viridiplantae; Streptophyta; Magnoliopsida; Poales; Poaceae
Description: partial small subunit ribosomal RNA
Source: RNAcentral
AUGGGUCUCUCAGAUGCAAUGCAAUGGUGGGAUGAGUGGAAGCUGCGCGUCCUCGUCUUGGGCAGCCUCUCUGUCCAGUUCUUCCUCUACUUCUCUGAUUUGGUGCGUCUAUGGUAUAAGCUACGCUGGUUGAGGAUGCUGGUGUGGAUGGCGCACAUAGGCGGGGAUGCGUUGGCGGUCUACGCUCUCGCCACCCUCUUCAACCGCCAAAAGCAGCUAACUGCUGAUGGAGGGAGCGAGGCUCUGGAGCUCAUAUGGGUGCCUAUCCUCCUCAUUCACCUUGGAGGCCAGAGCAUAAGUGCCUACAGCCUCGAGGACAAUGAGCUUUGGAUGCGGCAUGCCAUAACUCUGGUGUCCCAAGUCGUGGUCGCCUUGUACAUCUUCUGCAAGUGGUGGUCCGGCCAGAAGAGGCUCCUGCAGGCGGCAGUCUUGCUCUUUGUGGUUGGCAUCCUCAAGUUCAGUCAGAAGCCAUGGGCCCUCAGGAGCGCCAGCUUCAAUAGCAUGGCCUCCAGAAGUCUCUCCGUGCCAAGAGAUAAAGGAUCCUUCACUCCAUGGUGGGCAUGGUGCACUACGGAUUGCUUGGAUUUUAUUUCAGCAAGAAUGAAGACAGGAGAGCAAGAACACAAAUGCAACCUUUCACUCCAAGACUAUGUAAAAGAGGCAAGGAGUAUUGUAGUACAAGAGAAGGAGGUACCAAGUGAAAGUGCCCGUAGGCUGGACCACAUCUGUAUGAUGCUUGUGGACCUAUCUUGUCGGGACCCCAUUCGUCUUAACUAUCUGCAGUAUUUCCUCAAGUUGGAUGACGAGGGUGUACACAAAGGUCUACGGACGUGGGUUUGGGAUACAUAUAGGAUCCUUUACACCAGAAUGAGAUCAUACCAAACUCCUCUUGGCUUAUGCUCAGUGUGGUUUCUUCCUUUCCUGGCCUUGGCUUCCCUGGUGCUCUUCGCCAAGAGUGACAAGGAUGGUUACAAUGACAAGGACAUUACAGUAUCAUACAUCCUGUUGGGUUGCACAGCCAUGAUUCAGUUCGCCGCCUGGUUUGCACCCUUUUUGCGCAUGCCUUGCGACAUCUCGGGCAGACUCAAACUUGCUACUUGGCAAGACAUGGUUUCACAGCAAAACCUCAUGUCAUUUUGUGCUCGCGAGAAGCAGCAGCCCACCACCACUUUCAUGAAAAUUGUUGCUUGCAUGUGUCCCAUGGAGUACAUUAACAAGCAUUGCUACAAUUGGCAAGAGACUGCGGCUCUCCAGAUUGAAGUGCUGAUUUGCGAGUACAUAAAAGAUGGGUGGAAGGAGUAUAUAAGUGGUCCUACCACAUACAGAAGAUUCAAUAAUUUCAGGGGGCAACACACUCUGUCGAGGCACCCUCAACAUCUUUGGAGCCUCGAAGAACUAGGAUUCGAUGACACUGUUCUUGUGUGGCACAUAGCCACGGAUCUCUGCUUCCACCACCCUGACACAUCCUCCCAGCAAGGUCCAAGUGGAGACACCAUCCUACGCAGCACGCAGAUAUCCAACUACAUGAUCUACCUGAUUUUCGUGUGUCCUGAGAUGCUAAUGGCAGGGACGAGGCAAGAUUUGUUCACAGUUGCUUGCAAUGACAUCAAGGCCAUUCUCACGGACCAGGACGAUCCACAGGGCAUUGCACGGCAGAUUCUUCUCAUGGAACGAGAUGCACUUAAAGGAAUUGUGGUUCAGUAUGCACACAAACUCGCCAAGCAACUCAUGGACCACCCCAACGAGGAACAGAGGUGGAAGGUGAUCCAAGGUGUGUGGGUGGAGAUGCUCUGCUAUUCUGCCAGUAGAUGCAGGGGCUACCUGCAUGCCAAGAGCCUGGGUGAAGGUGGGGAGUUCCUUACAAAUGUCUGGUUCUUAUGGUCGUUCAUGGGAAUGGAAAUCCUGGGCGACAAGAUCAACCAGCCUCUUGAAAAAGAAGGAAUCACAGAUGCUCUCGUGUGA